Molecule: ribosomal RNA, 264 nt
Filed under: uncultured bacterium
Lineage: Bacteria
Description: partial 16S ribosomal RNA
Rfam family: Bacterial small subunit ribosomal RNA
Source: RNAcentral
UGGCGACCGGCGCACGGGUGAGUAACACGUAUCCAACCUGCCUCAUACUCGGGGAUAGCCUUUCGAAAGAAAGAUUAAUAUCCGAUGUCAUAGUCCUACCGCAUGAUGGGAUUAUUAAAGAAUUUCGGUAUGGGAUGGGGAUGCGUUCCAUUAGUUAGUUGGCGGGGUAACGGCCCACCAAGACAACGAUGGAUAGGGGUUCUGAGAGGAAGGUCCCCCACAUUGGAACUGAGACACGGUCCAAACUCCUACGGGAGGCAGCAG